GGAGAAGCUAGGCUUUGUGGGUUUCUCUAAGUGUUGAUGUUUGAGCCGUUGGUUCUUCUGGAGGAGUUCGUCAUGACUAGCUUCCCCAACAACUAAUGGCAACUAUGGUUCCACCAGUGAAACUGAAAUGGCUCGAACACCUGAACAGUUCCUGGAUUACAGAAGACAGUGAAUCUAUUGCUACAAGAGAGGGAGUUGCCAUCCCGUAUCCUAAACUAGUCAGCAAUAAGGACGUAGUAGCUUUGCCCCAACAAGUUUUAUGCCUCAAAGGACCACAGUUGCCAGACUUUGAACGUGAAUCUCUUUCAAGUGACGAACGGGACCAUUAUUUGGAUGCACUUCUUAGCAGCCAGCUAGCACUAGCAGAGAUGGUUUGUUCAGAUUCUCCAUUUGCUGGGGCGCUGCGAAAACGCCUGCUUGUACUCCAGCGUGUCUUCUAUGCACUUUCUAAUAAAUACCAUGACAAAGGAAAAGUGAAACAGCGCGGCAUUCUCCGGAGAGCAGCUCUGGUGCAGCAGCUGUCCAUUCUGUGAGUGAACGUCCUCGGUCAGGCACUGAUGCACUUACAGAAAUGGGUGUUUGAACUGGUCUAAGUUAUUAUUUGCACUUCUGAGACAAAGUUGGAUGAUGCCUGUGUCGGGACCUGGCCUUAGUCUUUGCAACGAUGUUAUUCAUCCUGCAAUUGAAGUUGUGAGCUCUUUGCCACCAUUAUCUUUAGCCAAUGAAAGCAAGAUUCCUCCUGUGGGUUUGGACUGCUUAUCACAAGUAACAACAUUUCUUAAAGGAGUAACUAUUCCCAAUUCUGGGGUAGACAUUUUAGGUCGUAGAUUAGCUUCUGAGUUGCUGCUUGGUUUAGCAGCUCAGCGAGGCUCUCUGCGGCAUCUUCUUGAAUGGAUAGAAAGGGCUUUGGGGGCUUCAGCAGUUGUUAAUAACAUGGAGAAAACCAAACUACUGUGAAGCCAGGAAGGAAUGAUCAGCUUUGACUGCUUUAUGACUAUCUUAAUGCAGAUGAGACGUUCUUUGGGGUCAUCUGCUGAUCGGAUUUAGUGGAGAGAACCAACCAGAACAUCUGAUGGCCUGUGCUCACUCUAUGAGGCAGCUUUAUGUCUCUUUGAAGAGGUUUGGAGAAUGGCUUCUGAUUACUCAAAAACAUGUGCUAGCCCAGAUAGCAUUCAGACUGGAGAUGCUCCCAUUGUCUCUGAAACCUGUGAGGUUUAUGUUUGGGGAAGUAACAGCAGUCAUCAGCUGAUAGAAGGCACACAGGAAAAAAUACUGCAACCCAAACUAGCUCCCAGUUUCUCUGAUGCCCAGACGAUUGAAGCUGGACAGUAUUGCACUUUCGUUAUUUCUAUGGAUGGUUCGGUCAGAGCUUGCGGUAAAGGCAGCUAUGGGAGCCUGGGCCUUGGAGAUCUCCAAUAUAAUUAGUCUACUUUAUAAAAGUUAACCUUUGAACCUCACAGGUUCAUUAAAAAGGUUUCAUCUUCUAAAGGCUCUGAUGGUCACACUUUAGCUUUUACGACAGAAGGAGAAGUCUUCAGCUGGGGAGAUGAUGACUAUGGGAAACUAGGACAUGGAAAUAGUUCAACCCAGAAAUACCCCAAGCUUAUUCAGGGGCCUUUUCAGGGAAAGGUAGUUGUUUGUGUGUCAGCUGGAUACUGGCACAGUGCUGCUGUUGCAGAGGACAGUGAAUUAUAUACAUGGGGUGAAGGAGACUUUGGAAGAUUAGGUCAUGGUGAUAGCAAUAGCUGUAACAUUCCAAUGUUAGUAAAAGACAUUAGCAAUGUUGGAGAGGUUUCUUGUGGCAGUUCACAUACUAUUGCUCUGUCUAAAGAUGGAAGAACUGUGUGGUCUUUUGGAGGAGGAG
Long non-coding RNA from Cavia porcellus (domestic guinea pig), 1864 nucleotides. RefSeq lists it as uncharacterized. The record is from RefSeq and is a predicted model, not a curated record. Lineage: Eukaryota; Metazoa; Chordata; Mammalia; Rodentia; Caviidae. The transcript is spliced from 7 exons.